Molecule: ribosomal RNA, 253 nt
Filed under: uncultured bacterium
Lineage: Bacteria
Description: partial 16S ribosomal RNA
Rfam family: Bacterial small subunit ribosomal RNA
Source: RNAcentral
UACGUAGGGUGCAAGCGUUGUCCGGAAUUAUUGGGCGUAAAGAGCUCGUAGGCGGUUUGUUGCGUCGGCUGUGAAAUCCCGAGGCUCAACCUCGGGUCUGCAGUCGAUACGAGCAAACUAGAGUGUUGCAGGGGAGACUGGAAUUCCUGGUGUAGCGGUGAAAUGCGUAGAUAUCGAGAGGAACACCUGCGGCGAAGGCGGGUUGCUGGGCUGACACUGACGCUGAGGCGCGAAAGCUAGGGGAGCGAACGGG